UGCGGCGGAUUAGGUAGUUGGUGGGGUAACGGCCCACCAAGCCUAAGAUCCGUACGGGCUGUGGGAGCAGGAGCCCGGAGAUGGACCCUGAGACAAGGGUCCAGGCCCUACGGGGCGCAGCAGGCGCGAAACCUCCGCAAUGCGGGAAACCGCGACGGGGUUAGCCGGAGUGCCCGUGCAUUGCACGGGCUGUCGGGGUGCCUAAACAGCACCCCAUAGCAAGGGCCGGGCAAGGCCGGUGGCAGCCGCCGCGGUAAGACCGGCGGCCCGAGUGGCGGCCACUCUUAUUGGGCCUAAAGCGUCCGUAGCCGGCCCAGUAAGUCCCCCGGGAAAUCUGGUCGCUUAACGAUCAGACUUCCGGGGGAUACUGCUGGGCUAGGGACCGGGAGAGGCCGAGGGUAUUCCCGGGGUAGGGGUGAAAUCCUGUAAUCCCGGGAGGACCACCUGUGGCGAAGGCGCUCGGCUGGAACGGGUCCGACGGUGAGGGACGAAGGCCUGGGGAGCGAACCGGAUUAGAUACCCGGGUAGUCCAGGCUGUAAACGAUGCGGGCUAGGUGUCACCGGAGCUACGAGCUCCGGUGGUGCCGGAGGGAAGCCGUUAAGCCCGCCGCCUGGGAAGUACGGCCGCAAGGCUGAAACUCAAAGGAAUUGACGG
RNAcentral lists this ribosomal RNA (655 nucleotides) under uncultured archaeon. RNAcentral describes it as "bacterial SSU rRNA". It matches the Rfam family "Archaeal small subunit ribosomal RNA", at positions 216 to 871 of the family's 1478-position model. The record is from RNAcentral.